GUUGAACGCUGGCGGCGGGCCUAACACAUGCAAGUCGAGCGGACGGAGGGAGAUUGUUCCUUUAUUCAGCUGCCGGCGGGUGGGUGAUUCCUAGGAAUCUACCCUACCUUUAGGAAUAGGGUAAGUUCGGGGGAGCUGAUCCAACAUACGUCCAUAGUUUGAAACUGAUGGUUCUUCAGACCAAACCCGAUCUGCUGUGCCUGGGUGGCAUUAGCUAGUUGGUAUGGUAAAGGCUUACCAAGGCAACGAUGCAUAGCUGAUCUGAGAGGGUGAUCGGCCACACUGGAACUGAGACACGGUCCAGACUCCUACGGGAGGCAGCAGUAGGGAAUCUUCGGCAAUGGGCGAAAGCCUGACGGAGCAACGCCGCGUGAGUGAUGAAGGUCUUCGGAUCGUAAAACUCUGUUAUUAGGGAGGAACAUAUGUAUAAGUAACUGUGCACAUCUUGACGGUACCUAAUCAGAAAGCCACGGCUAACUACGUG
RNAcentral lists this ribosomal RNA (484 nucleotides) under uncultured bacterium. Its description in RNAcentral is "partial 16S ribosomal RNA". It matches the Rfam family "Bacterial small subunit ribosomal RNA", at positions 28 to 507 of the family's 1533-position model. The record is from RNAcentral.